GGCCUGGUAGCUCAGUUGGCUAGAGCAUUGGCUGUACUAAAGCCUUACCCCUACUGGCGUGGGUUUCAAUCACACCGAGGCCA
Molecule: non-coding RNA, 83 nt
Organism: Schistocephalus solidus
Lineage: Eukaryota; Metazoa; Platyhelminthes; Cestoda; Diphyllobothriidea; Diphyllobothriidae
Source: Rfam